RNAcentral lists this long non-coding RNA (1212 nucleotides) under Felis catus (domestic cat). Its description in RNAcentral is "lncRNA (ENSFCAG00000052692.1)". Lineage: Eukaryota; Metazoa; Chordata; Mammalia; Carnivora; Felidae. The record is from RNAcentral.
AUGUCUUCUGCUCUGGUUUACAGAGAAAUUUUCCGUGCUGGCUCCCUGCUUCAGCCUCAGCCUGCUGCAGCUGGAAUGGUUGUUCCAAACACAAGGAUGCCCCUGUCCCUCCUGAACCCCAGUCCUUCAAUGGUCCCACAAACCCCAGGAGAAGAUGAAAGAGGGAUUCCACCAUUUGGCGCUGCUUUACCUCCUGGUUUCAGCCCUUUUCCUCUCCCUCAGCGGGUCCUGGCCGGCCCGGACCACACUCCAUUCCACUCUCGCCACCCUCACGGGACGACGUCUGUUCUCCCCGUGCCCAGGGACCCAGGGCUCAGUCCCGCUCCUGUUUGUAAGGGCCCCCUCCGGGGUCACGGCGGGAGGUUGGGGGGGGGGGGGGGCGUUCCUUCCCGAGGCGGCCGCCAGGGGGCGGCAGUAGCGGCUCCAGAUGACAGCGGGAGGCCGCCGGUGGGGGAGGGAGGAGGGACCGAGGGAGCGCGGAUCCCGGUUCUCCCGGUCGCAAACUUCGAGCCACAGCUUUCCGCGCGCGCCCGAGCCUCUGGCCGCCCGCGCAGCCCGACGCCGAACCGGGGCGCAGCGGGAGCCCGUGCAGGGCGGGCGCGGGGCGGAGGCGGCGGCCGUCCAUGCGGCGGGCUCGGGGCUGCCCGGCGCCGGGAAGCACGCGGGGGCGAGGCGAGGCGGCCGCCGGCCGCUCCGGGACGCGGACCGCCAGGUGAGCAGAGCCGCCCGCGCCCCCUGCGCCCCGCCCGCGCGGCCCCGACCCGGCCCGGCCGCUGUCCUCCUCCCGGGCCCGCUCUGGACCUCGGGGCGACGGCGCGGGCGGCGGGCGCAGUGGGUGUGUCCGGGGAGCGGGGGGCUGCGCCCGCACCGGGCUUGGGGAGCCAGCGCGCGCUUGGUCCCAGCCGACGGCUGCGCCGCCUCUCCCUCCUUUCCCUUCUCUUCCCUUCCCGGGGGAUCUGCUGUGUCCCGGCGCCAGCACGCACUCCUCCACUCUCCAACUCUGAAACUCUAGAGACAGCCAACCUGGGCCGUCCUGUAGUCGGGGCCCCGCGCUCCCCGGGUCGGGGCGGAGGGGGGCCGGCGAGUGCACACCCAGCCCGUGCGCCUCGACCCCUGCCUCGCCUUCCUUCUGCCCCGGGCCGGAGAGCUGAUCCGGUCUCGGUCGGCGCGCAUCGAGCCCCAGCCCGGGGCCUCGGCCACGCCGUUUUCUAG